Molecule: long non-coding RNA, 1578 nt
Filed under: Mus musculus (house mouse)
Lineage: Eukaryota; Metazoa; Chordata; Mammalia; Rodentia; Muridae
Description: long non-coding RNA chr5:65963850-65965428
Source: RNAcentral
GCACCUGGAAUGCCUUCUUCUGGCCUCCAGGGGAACUCAUAUGCACACUCACAUGCCCACAUGCACACUCACAUACAUGCACACACAUGUACACUCACAUACAUGCAUACUCAUAUACAUGCACACUCAUAUACAUGCACACAUAUAUCCACAUUACAAAUACUCUUUUAAAAGGACAACAAGAAUAUAGCAGGAGUGAAAUUCUACCACCCAAAGUAUGAGCUGAUUGUCAGAUAAAGCAACUGUUUUCUAGCCAGGUCUGUUGAGACACUUAGGGUGGGAGACAGAGACAGAGAUCCAGAGAGGGAAUGAGAGAAGAGGUCUUACUGGAAGGGAGAGAAAGAGAAAUAAAUAAAUAAAUAAAUAAAUAAAUAAAUAAUACAUAUUUUAGCUCUAGCUUAUACAUAUAAAUAUAUUAUUAUAUAUUUUUAUAUUAGAAUGCACUUUCCCCAGUAAUUUUUUACUUAUUUAACAGUUUUAUAAUCAAGUAGUGUUUUUAGAACACUAUGAAGUAACUCACUUAUUCCUCAAAAAAACCUCUAAGAGGUAGCCAAUGUUAAAAUCACCCCCAUUUUAUAAAUGAAGAAAUGGAGGCAUGAAGAGACCAAGCACUCUGCUCUAAGUUUCUCAGCUAGCUAGUCCGGCAAGAUGGCACAUGCCUACAAUCCCAGAAUCGGGGAGGUAGAAGCAGGAGGAGCAGAACUUCCAGUUUCGGCUAUAGACCAGGUCCAAGUCCACAUUUAAAAAACAACAAAACCCAAAACAGAACAAAACCAAUCCUUUCUAAGGCUCAAGGCUAUCUUAUCUGUCUGCUUUUCAAACCUAUUGAAUCUUUUUUUUUAAGAUUAUACAUACAUAUACAUACACACACACAUAUAUACAUAUGUGUGUGUGUGUGUGUGUGUGUGUGUGUGUGUGUGUGUGUGUGUGUGUGUGUUCUGUAGCUGUCUCUGGAAGAGCAGUCAGUGCUCUUAACCACUGAGCCAUCUCUCCAGCCCUGCCUUAUUGAAUCUUACACAGUAAAUUCAACUAAUUUCUUCUGCCACUGAAUGUCCUGGAAACAAGAGUUCCAGGUCUCUGAUUAGAAUGACUUGGGAUUGAUGGAGGGAUGGAGUUUAUAUUUGGUGGUCGUUCCCUCCCCCCACCCCGUGUGAUUUAUGUGUGUCUGCAUAUUGUGUGUGCAUGUAUAUGUACAUGUGCAUGCAUUUACAUUCGAGUGCUGAUACAUGUGUGUCCUGCACGCUUUUGGAAGUCAGGGGACAACUGUGAGUGCUGCUCCUGUACUUAGAGCCGAAUCUCUUUGCUCUUCAGUGCAGGCCCCUGGGCUCCAGGGAGUCCUCCAUCUCCACCUCUCAGGAGUACAGAACUACAGAUGCACUACCUGUGGGUUCUGGAGAUCUGAAGCUUGGGGCAUAUGCACUGCCUGCUGGACCAUUUCCCCAGCCCUCCCCUAGUGAUUUUUGGAAGGAAUUUGUACUUUAUCUUAGUGAAAGACCAGAAACAAUAUCAGAAUUUAAAAGUUUAGUUUGUAUUCGUUAGCAUCUUGGCCUCAAGACACAAUCUCCACCACCACCACCC